CAGUAGCCGCGGGAAUACGUAGGGUGCAAGCGUUAAUCGGAAUUACUGGGCGUAAAGCGUGCGCAGGCGGUUAUGCAAGACAGAUGUGAAAUCCCCGGGCUCAACCUGGGAACUGCAUUUGUGACUGCAUGACUAGAGUACGGCAGAGGGGGAUGGAAUUCCGUGUGUAGCAGUGAAAUGCGUAGAUAUGCGGAGGAACACCGAUGGCGAAGGCAGCCCCCUGGGCCAAUACUGACGCUCAUGCACGAAAGCGUGGGGAGCAAACAGGAUUAGAUACCCCGGUAGUCCCUGUCUCUUAUAC
RNAcentral lists this ribosomal RNA (301 nucleotides) under uncultured bacterium. Its description in RNAcentral is "partial 16S ribosomal RNA". It matches the Rfam family "Bacterial small subunit ribosomal RNA", at positions 509 to 807 of the family's 1533-position model. The record is from RNAcentral.